CUUAGAUGCCUUCAGCGGUUAUCCUGUCCGAUCAUAGCUACUCUGCACUGCUGCUGGCGCAACAACAGAUCCACCAGUGGAUCGUUCACCCCGGUCCUCUCGUACUAGGGGCAACUCCCAUCAAGUCUCCUACACCCACGGCAGAUAGGGACCGAACUGUCUCACGACGUUCUAAACCCAGCUCACGUACCUCUUUAAAUGGGGAACAGCCAUACCCUUGGGGCAGCUCCAGCCCCACGAUGAGAUGAGCCGACAUCGAGUGCCAAACACUGCCGUCGAUAUGGACUCUUGGGCAGUAUCAGCCUG
RNAcentral lists this ribosomal RNA (306 nucleotides) under uncultured alpha proteobacterium EB080_L06A09. RNAcentral's name for it is "23S ribosomal RNA". The record is from RNAcentral. Lineage: Bacteria; Pseudomonadati; Pseudomonadota; Alphaproteobacteria.